UACAGAGGGUGCAAGCGUUAAUCGGAAUUACUGGGCGUAAAGCGCGCGUAGGCGGCUUGACAAGUCGAGUGUGAAAUCCCCGGGCUUAACCUGGGAGCUGCAUUCGAAACUGUCUUGCUAGAGUAUGGGGAGAGGGAGGUGGAAUUUCAGGUGUAGCGGUGAAAUGCGUAGAUAUCUGAAGGAACAUCAGUGGCGAAAAGCGACCUCCUGGACCAAUACUGACGCUCAGGUGCGAAAAGCGUGGGGAGCAAACAGG
This 256-nucleotide ribosomal RNA is filed under the name uncultured bacterium. RNAcentral describes it as "partial 16S ribosomal RNA". It matches the Rfam family "Bacterial small subunit ribosomal RNA", at positions 524 to 776 of the family's 1533-position model. The record is from RNAcentral.